Molecule: ribosomal RNA, 494 nt
Filed under: uncultured bacterium
Lineage: Bacteria
Description: partial 16S ribosomal RNA
Rfam family: Bacterial small subunit ribosomal RNA
Source: RNAcentral
GACGAACGCUGGCGGCGUGCUUAACACAUGCAAGUCGAACGGUUAAGCGCCUUCCUUUUUGGUGGGUGUGGAUGAGUGGCGAACGGGUGAGUAACACGUGAGUAACCUGCCCCCUUCUUCUGGAUAACCGCAUGAAAGUGUGGCUAAUACGGGAUAUUCUGGGUCUGUCGCAUGAUGGGUCUGGGAAAGAUAUUGUUUCUGUGGGGGAUGGGCUCGCGGCCUAUCAGCUUGUUGGUGGGGUGAUGGCCUACCAAGGCGGUGACGGGUAGCCGGCCUGAGAGGGUGGACGGUCACACUGGGAAUGAGACACGGCCCAGACUCCUACGGGAGGCAGCAGUGGGGAAUAUUGAACAAUGGGCGCAAGCCUGAUGCAGCGACGCCGCGUGAGGGAUGGAGGCCUUCGGGUUGUGAACCUCUUUCGCCAGUGAAGCAGGCCUGCCUCGUUUGUGGGUGGGUUGACGGUAGCUGGAUAAGAAGCGCCGGCUAACUACGUG